UGUUCCUGUGCCAUUUGGCUUGCUUGCAGCAUCCUGUGCAAAAUGAACACCUGGCUCUGAAUCCGGUUUAUACCUUUAUUUGCACUGGGAUCAACUGCAUAUAGUCUGUAACCAGUAGAGAAAUAUUCUCAUUUGAACAUCCACUUUCAAGAUUCCCUGUAUCUAAAAAGAUAAGGGAAAGCUCCUUUCUCUCCUUGAUAGAUCAACAACACACCAUGAUCUGUGUUUUUCCAAACCUGCUAACAUGUGCAUUCCUGAUUUUACAUUACUGCGUAGGAAGCAGUGCCUUCAGUUGCUUGAGUUUUUAUAACUUGAACUUCUGCCAGAUUUCAAGAUAUUCAUUCUGCCCAUUGAAGUUCCAGGAAACUCCUCACACAGAGCAAAAAUAAAGCUAAAUGAAGCCCUCUAAAAUGGUCUGGUACAUGAUGAUGAUGGUGAUAACGACGAAGACAACCCUCAGCCCCUGCAUUAACAACAGAGCAACUUCAAAACCACCUCCCCCAUCAAGUCAUCUUGACAUUUUCUCAAGAUUUCCAGCAAUUGCAGUAUACUGCUUUUUGAUUUUGAGUCUGUAAGCAGCUUAGUUCACUCUGGAUUGUACGAUCUGGGCAGCUGAUCGGAUUCCCAGCCCGCAUGCCCAAGGGAAGCUUUCCUGUCAGUGGCUAUGUGUCUGGGAGACCCUCUGAUGGGAGCCCUCCUGAUGUGACCCUUGACUUUUUUUCUGCAGCAAACCCUUCAACACCUGCUUCCAAUAUGGCUAUUGUGGGUCCAGGAAAAUUCUGCUCUCUGUUGAGACUCAAGUAGACGUCACCUUUAUUCCCUUCACACAACUUGACAUCCAGUCAUUUUGCCUGUGUUAUGGUUUGAAUUCAGUGAACAUUAUGGGUUUACUAAGUAUUUCUGUCAAUCUUCUUUUAUUGCCAAUUACUUUUGUUUUAAUAUAAUCAGUACGGAAACCACUCCUCCUCAGGAAACACUUCAUGUGCCAUCUUAGAUCCCUGUACUGUCUUGAUGAAUAUAUACCAGCACAUCAACCUGGGUCAUUGCCCCAGGCAUGGAGAAACUUCUAAAUUAGUACAGUGCUCUGCUUACCUUGUGGACAGCUUGUGGAACAAGAAAAUGCUAGAAUUGAUCAACUCUGACUUUAGUACAGAGUCCCACAAGUUGCAGCUUGUCAAAAUUUGUAGGGAAAGAGGGCUUUCUGAGCUGCCAUAUUAUUUUCUUUUCAGAAGUGUGAUUGGCAUGGAAGGGGGGUCAGGGGAAAUGGUGAUAACUGUAAAAGAAGACUUCUCCUAGAAAAUAAUAUACAAGAGGUCAUUAGGAAAAAGCUUACGAAUUUUCUUGUGGGAAAUGAAGUGCCAAUGAAUAAGAAUAACUUUUGUUUUCGAGGUAACCUUUGCCCUAUCAAGUAACAGGACCAAGUGUUGCUCAGUAUACUUGUGUUCAGAAGCCCACUAGAUGUCCAAGCUGCUGUAUUUGUUUUAAAUUCAUUUUCUCAAGAAUGAACUCCUCUUCUCCAUAUCAAUUGAAGGAGUUGAUGUACUGUUAUUUCAUAGGCACCUGUGGUCUACUAAUAUCUUGUUAAAUUUGACUAUUAUUCGUCAGUGAGUCUUGGUCUUGACAGUGGGGAGGUUUUCCAUUAUGGAUGCCAUCAUAAAGUCUGAUGUUGUUGACAUCCAUAGUAUGCACUUUCUAAUGUCGGGAUUGGUUCGGAACAGGAACACUCAUUAUUUUUUCCUUUCCUAACUCAGAAGCACAGCAGUCAAAUGUUGAACCCUUACUGUUGUCCUAGCUGAGCCCAGCAAGUUUAGCAAUAGCUAGGGGUUGAACUUCAAGCAAUAAAAUAUUCUAGUCAAGUUUUAAUAACCAAAAAUAAGCAGAAGAACUCAAAGUACAAACUCACGGCAAUAUUUGCACAGGUCAGUUUCCUUGAAUAUUUUUCUUGUACCCGGACAAAUUCUUUUGAAAACUUAUCCUGUCCGAGAGUGUAAACACGAUAGGAUAAAAGAUUGCUCGAUAUUAGAUGAUCCUUCUCUCACUAGAGGUUCCACUCCUUCUGUUACACCCUAUUUAAUCCAUCAUAGUCUGGAAGCAAGAGACAAUUUUUACAAAUAAAGGAUAGGCCAUUUAAAGGUAGGCCAUUGACAGAUUUUUGGAUACCAAUGACAUCGAGCGAUACGAGGAUAAUGCAAGACAAUGUCAUUGAGGUAGAUUAUCAGCCAUGAUCUAAUUGAAUGACAGAGGAGGAUCAAGGAGUUGAAAGGCCUGCUCCUUCAUCUGUUCCCAGUGAGAAUAAAAUUCUUACUUUUUCCUUGUUUCAGAAUUCCAAAGAGAAAGAAAAUGACUAACUUAAUUAUAUACAGAUAAUCCUUCAGCCUCAAUGUACAGAUCUCCAUUUCCAUCUUUGAAGAUGCUGCUGGGCAAUUAUAGUGGGUUCUGCAAUUAAGAUGGAGAAACUGUAACAUAUGAUUAUUUAUUAUAUGUCCCAUUGUUCCACAGCUAACUCUGAACGGCACACAAAGGCACUUAUAAGAGAGGUAUGGCAAGCCAAACAAUAUACCAAAUAAAACUGCAUUUCUCCAAAUAUCUCCUCUUCAUAAACAAGUACAUGACUAUUGUUUGCAGGCUAACUAGUUCCCCAAUAUGCACAAUAAACAAUGAAAAUAUUCCUUUCUAUCAAAACAUUUUUUUAAAAAAACAAAAAAAGCUAGAUCAGACUGGCCUUAUGGACCAGUGCUCUAAUCUAGCAUGUAUCAGCGAACUGGAAUUUUAAUGAAAAAUUGUUUGCACUUGGAUGGAUAGAAUAAAUAUUGAAGAUCAUUAAGUUAUUUUCAGUACAGAAUGAUCAAGGAUUAAUUUUACUUUUAAAGAACUCAAAUACAUCUAACCUAGAGGUUAAAAGUUUAUAGGGCAGUUCGUGAGAGAUCUGACUGUAGCCAAAAGGAAGUGUAGUUUCUCUGUCCUAGAAAGGAGUUUUUCAGAGCAGUUAAGGGAAUCAAUGAUUAAAAGAUGAGAAAGUUUAAGCUCUCAGUUUUGUGAGUAAUCAUAAUAGAAGAUUUCACAAGAUAGAAGGGAGGAUCAGUUAAGUCAAACUUAAAAUCUUGACACAGAGGGGUAAGGUUUUGCAUUUGAAUCUCUGUAAACUGCUGGUGUUAUUAAGUAGAUUGUAAACUUUGUUUUGCUGUUGUCAUGGUUUGAAAGAGAAAAGUACACUGAUAAUAAGUUUACUGUUCCACAAGCCAUUACAAAAUAUAUAAAAUCCCAAAUAAAUCACCAAAAUAACCAAUUUACCUGACUGACUUUAAUUUAGGGCAAAAGUAAUUUAUACCAAGUUUUAUCAUUAACACUGGAAAUACACUUCUUUAAUAAAUGGCUGAGAAAUGAGAAUUUCUGAUCUACUACUAUACAACUUAGACUAUAGCCCUGUUAAAUCCCAACCCCACUCCAGACACACACACACUCAUUCAUGAAUAAAAUAGUAAAAAGGACAGAGAUUCAACACCGAGCGGAAAAAAGUAGGGAACUGAUAUGCAACAGGAACAAAAUUCUGAUGAUCCAAAGUCGUGAUCAUAAGGGUGCGUUUAAAUGAUCUUUUACAGUUUGUUUCUUUGGGACUUGUAGCAAUGUUGACAUGCCUUUUUUUUGUAAACAAUGGUCAUUCUUCACUUCAGUAGUUGAUCAAAUGGACCUUGGUCUGUUGUUGUUAGGAUUCAUUCUUUUUAAAGUUUUCUGUUCUUUUUCUGCCCUUCCACUCACAUCAAAUGAAGGGAGAGAGAUAUUGUCAGUUUGUUGCCUCUGGAGGUCUCUGGCUACUUUGCACUUACAGAUCAGGAUGAAUUAGCCAAUUCAAGUACUGGUGUAAGGUAGCUUUUCUGGAACCCAAAAGCCUUUGGUGCUACACUGACUCAAUAAUAUGUCAAUCUCACUGUUCCAACAAAAACGCUGUCUUGCACAAAAAUAUGAAAGUCUUGAUAAUGUGCACCACUUUAUUUUUCCCAAGUUGUGAAAAUGUACUGCUGUUAUUUCAACUACAUAGCUGUCCAACUUCCUUUCCCUUUCAUAGUCCAGAAGGGAAUGAUAUGUUGUCCCUUACACUGUUUGUUUUUAGAUUUCUCUAAAC
Rhincodon typus (whale shark) is the source of this 4120-nucleotide long non-coding RNA. RefSeq lists it as uncharacterized. The record is from RefSeq and is a predicted model, not a curated record. NCBI's taxonomy places the organism in Eukaryota, Metazoa, Chordata, Chondrichthyes, Orectolobiformes, Rhincodontidae. The transcript has 6 exons.